GGAUUGCAAGAGGUAUUUUCAGCAAGUCCUAGAAGAAAUUUGAGAUGGGGAUCGAUGAAUUGUUAAUGGUCGCAUUGAUGCCAGUUCUGAAAACACUAUUGAUUGCUGUGGUGGGCUUAUUCCUUGCUGUGGAUCAUAUUAGCAUCUUGUCUGCAACUGCACGUCACCAUUUGAAUAAUGUAAGCUGGAUGAUCUCUUGUUAAAGUUGAGUUAUCUUUGAUUUUCUUGAGGUGUCUGAGACGAAAUUAUUCCAAUCAUAUAUCAAUCAGGAAUUCUGAACAGAUAAAGUGAGAACUAGGAAGGAAGAAUUGCAAUUGGCAGGGAAUAAAUAGAGAGCAAAGCAAUUAACAUGGCUUUGGUUGGACAGUUGAAUGAAAUGACUUGUAUAAAUGCCAAGAUAGUAGGAUAUAAAAACUUGCUAUAUUCGAUAUCUUUGUACUGCUGAGCAAUCACGGGGAGAAGAGCUUCAUUGGAUAUUUUCAGUCGUCAAGGUAUACAGAGUAGCACCAGUUUUAAGGCUAAUCCCUUGACUACUUCAAACAAUAACUAAAAUCUGCAAUCCAAUAAGCACUAAUAAGAACAUUUAGAAAAAAACCAAAAAAAAAAAGUAAUUAAACAUUUCCAAAACCAAGCAUAAGUGACUAAUGAAUUCCUGUGUUUUGAGAUGGAGCAGCUUGUGUACUACGUCUUCUUCCCAUCACUUUUGGCCAGCAGCUUGGUUGAUUCCAUUUCAGCGACCAACAUAAUUUCUUUGUAGGUUACCUGUUCAUCCUUGACUAGUUUCCCUUGAAUUCCAUCUCUUCCUACAUUCUACUGUUUCUUUAUUUAAGCUUUAUGACUCAUUCACAGGUGGUUCACACCAGUGAGUAUUCUCCUCACUUUUAUUAUUGGUUCAGCCCUUGGAUGGAUACUUGUCAGAAUCACCAAAACUCCUCAACAGUUGCAUGGCCUUGUCAUUGGAUCUUGUGCUGCGGGUACAUGAACUAUUUGAUGAAACUUAAAAUGGCUACUAUCCUUGAUUGAGUUGUUUUUCAUCUCAUCAAGCCUUAGAGAUAAAGAUUUAAUUCACUCUGGACUCUCGUAACUCUUAGAGACAUUUUGUAGGUAGACUCUAAACUGAAAUUCUAUAUAUAUAUUUCAGCCAGACGGCAAAACAUGGAAGAGGUUUGAUAGUUAAUGAUUACAUGCUCGUAUCACUUAAAAGUCUCUAAAAGCAGAAUUAUGCAGUCACACAGCAGUUGCUACUGCUAUAUCUGGAUAAUGAUCACUGUGAAAUAAUAGGAGGAAAACUUCAUGACAAGAUCAACUUGGAUCCUGAAAUUUAAAGGGAUGAAGAAGAAGAUGUACAAAAAUCUAAAGUCUUCACGAAUGAUUUAGAUGAUCUUGGUUCAACUGGUUUUCUACAAUCAAAUAUGAGAGCCUUAACUAAAAUGUACAAUUUUCACUGCAAGGCACUUCUUUCUUUCUGGACUUUUGUCAUAUCUGGCAAUGCUGAUAGGCGUGUUUCUGUUAUAGCUGUCACAAGAUAUCCAAUGUAACGACGACUUAUGGAAACAAUGUUAUGACACCCUGAAUUUCAAGCAGAGUUCCUUGACAGAUUAAUUUAUACAGGAAAUAUGGGGAAUUUACCAGUUAUUAUCAUCCCAGCAAUCUGCGCAGAGAAGAAUAACCCAUUUGGAGAUUCAUUUUCCUGCUCUAGGAAUGGAAUGGCCUAUGUAUCACUCUCUAUGUCGGUAAUAUGGAACUUUCAUACCCAACUUCUAAAUUGCCUAUAAGUUUGUGCCACACAUUUAGAUUCUUGAACUUCAUGUAUUGUUUCACUUGUGCUGUUAAUGUUUGUUAUUAUUUAAAAAAGACAUCAUAUCUGAGCGGGUCAUAUGCCUAGAAGUUUUUUUUUUUUUGGCAGUGACCAGGAAGACCUUUCAGACAACUCAAUGUUGCUUAAGGAGGAACUGUGCUUAAGUUGAAAAGUUUUCAGAAUAUAUGUGGCCUCAGCUUUAUCGGCAUCCAGUUUUCAUACUUUUUUGUUCUUUCAGAUAGGGGCUGUUUUCGUUUGGUCUUAUGUAUACAACAUUAUACGUAUAUGUGGAACAGAGAGUGAUGGUAACGUCCAAAUAAGUUCCACAAUUAGCAAAAACCAGUCUGGUGAAAUAAAUUCCUCAGACAGCUCCAGAGAAGAGUUGCUGUUAAAAGGUUGCCCUAGCUCCCAGGAUUAUCACGUUCAACCUACUUUUGUUCUCAAAAGAUCUGAGGACAGAGUUAAGGUAAUUCCUUUUCUCCCUUUCUGCCUACUUCGAAACAUGAGCAGUUUGAUCAUUUCCUUUUCAAGUGCCUUAGUUUGGCCAUGAAGCAGAAUAAGUGAUUAAGACAACCAUCACAAUGUCACUUGGUGUAUAAGAUAUAACUUGGCUCUGAUCAGAGAGCUGUUCUUUUUCGCAAUUCCUUGCUCAAAUAAAUCUGGCAACCAAACAAAUAUCUUCAGUGAUUAAUCGCUAUGCUAGAUUUUAAAAGUCUGGACAAAUACUACCUCAUUGCUGUGUCUGCAUAGAUAUAAAACUAUGUAAUUUAUGCCGAUGGUGGAGAAUGGCUCAUACAUUAUUUCCUAAUACCUGUUAAUGCCACUUGCUAAUCUACUUAAUCAGCUAACAUUGUCGUAUUGCAGAAAUAAAGAUUGUUUGACCAACAAUAUCAGAGUUAUAUCCUAGCAGUAGAACACAGUUUUCAACCUUGUGAUAAAAUUGUUUCUGUUCUUUCCAUCUUUCCGUUGAGCUGUUGAGAUUUAAUAGCAAAGAUUUACUGGAUAACUGCAAGGUCAUUUUGGUUCUUAUCUUUAUCAAAUUUUUUUAGCAAACGUACCACUUUCCAAAGACACCAGAAAAACAAAAACAAAAAAAGGAAUCAAAUUUCUUGCCGCCCAAAAGUCAGAGGAACAGUUUCAUUGAUUAGUCUUCAUUUGAUGUUGCAUCAUUACAUUAUUCAUGUGGCAUCCGUUGGGUUCUUAAGCUGCCGAUAACCAGAUGCGAAAAACCCUUCAAAACUAUUUGCAGGUGCCAUUCAAGCAGCAUUUGAAAAGUUUGCUUGGAAAAAUUGACCUAAGGAUGUUGCUGACACCUCCUACUGUUGCAACGGUAGGCUUCUGAUGCUUGUUUUUCUCAUUUUAAUCACUAGGUUUCUAGUGCUCACAAAAUAACAGAGCCUCCUUUUUAUCCUGGGAACUCAAUAUGACUGGUAGAUAAUUUGACUAUAUACAUGAUAUUCAUGCAUUUUAGCUAAGAACUGAGGUUCCUUUAUGGCAACUCAAAGGACAAACAUGAGGAUGGAACUAUAGCAUUAUCACAUUUCAGAUCAUGAGCAGUUUUCUAAGCAUUUUGCAACUAAUUCGUUGAGUUUUCGAAGUAAAACUAACUGCCUGCUCCUGAUUAGAAGAAUAAAAUUCACAAUGGAAUGUAUAUUGGAUCCUUUUUUGGGCGUUACUGUAAUUCAAUGAGUACAUUAUUGUUUUAAUAUUUGUCCUCGUCCAUCCGAAUUCAACUUCGUUUGAAAGUAAAGCCAAAUAAACAGAUGGAGGAAAGUUAUAAUGUAACUUUUGAUUUGAUGGAACCUUGUGACCUCUCAAAUACUGGCCUCUGCUUAGUACUUUUCAUAGUUGUCCUUUCCUUGGUUAGUUAUGCAUCUCAUGAAUAAUUUGCUUGUCCUCUAUGUCACAGGUUGUUGGGCUUUUGAUUGGAGUCUCUCCAUUGCGGGAAGUAAUUGUUGGUGGUACUGCUCCUCUGCGUGUGGUUGAGAGUUCUGUUCUUUUGCUGGGGUAGCAUUUCUGCUCUGACCUUAAUUCCAUUCUCAUUGUAUUAGUGUAGUCAACUAGUACUAAAUAAUCUUUGUGACAAAGCUAUUUGUUCUUUGUUUGCUCAACGAUUCUUAAGCUUGAAAUUGUGAAACAUUUAUUAUCGCUUGCCCUUGCCAAGCUACACUAUUUAGGAGCUACAUAUAAUGAGAACAACAUAUUUCAAUCUGAUAAUACAGUACUGUAAAAUUUUAAGAUCAUGAUGAUGUCAAUUAAGCUGUUGUGUAUCCAAUAUGUACAGUACCAUUAGCAUCCCAAAGAAAUUGAAUGACAGAUCGUAGCAAAAUCCAUCUUGUUGCCUGCUUUGUAACCUGAUAAAUGCAGCAUAUUGGAGUCUUGUUGGUUAUUGUAGAGAGACCUAUAUUCUGGCAUUAGUCUUGUCUUAAUCAGCAUGGAAAUUUCCCUUCUGUUUUGCUGUUGAACUGAAACUUAUUGCUCAAUGGACUAGGAUCUGGAGAGCUUGCAUCGUUAAGGCGCUUGUUUUUAGGAAGAUGUUGAGCUUCGUCAAAUUUUCUGUGUCAUCACCUUAUGAGCGUAUUUUGCCUGCCACUUAUGCAGUAAUUUCUAAUUGGUCGAAAAGAUGAUAGUCUGAUUUUUGGCAGGGAAGCGGCAAUUCCAUCGAUGACGUUGAUAAUGGGUGCAAAUCUUCUUAGAGGUGGAGUUUAUACUCAUUACUAAUUGGUUGUCUACUUUAUGGUCGCCCACUAAUUAGUUUGCUUUCUCUGUAUUGGCACUUGGUACAUUUGUCCAGGUUUGAAAAGGUCAGGAGUAAACCUAUGGAUGAUUCUUGGCAUCAUUUUAAUCCGGUUCGCUGCCUUGCCUGUUUUAGGCGUUGUUAUCAUCAAAGCUGCAAGAGAUUUUGGCAUGGUGGGAUCAGAUCCUUUAUAUCAUUUUGUUCUUCUGCUUCAGUAUUCUGUUCCACCUGCAAUGGCCAUUGGUAUGGUUUAUCGCUUACUUUUCAACUUUCUCCCUCUUAAGUUGCUUGAUCUCUUCCACUUCAUGUCAGCUUGUGGAUUUAAUUGUUAAACCCAAUGAGUGGCCUUAAAUCAAUCUAACAAAGCCUGAUUGAAGUGGCUUGGAAUAAUUCCAUCAUGCUUAAAUUGCAUCUGCUGUGUCUGCUCUGUGGAGCCUGAUUUCAUCUUUUCUGAUACAUUAGUUCCUUCUUGAUUAGCAUGUGCUAGCAUUUUGAAAGCUACUUUUUUGGAGUUUUAACAUGCGGUCCAGAACUAUGAAAAAAUGUUCACGGAAGUAGUCACUGUGCACCAUGGAGUGGUCCAUGAUUCUUUCCCAAUCUACCACUGAGAAAAGCCCCCCGCUGUGUCCGUAGAAUAUCGAACAGUCUACGCAUAUUUUUCCAGCUCUGGACCAGUGACAUUACUGCAUGGCCUUUCCAUCAAAAUAUCUAGUCUUGCCUCAUAAUCAUGGGCCACCUCGUGCAAUUAUUUUACCAUAUUCCUUUUUUUUUUUCUUGAUUUACUUGUUAUUGCCAGACCUAAAUCACUUAUCAGUUCUAAACUUUCAAAUAAUCACACAAGGCAAUUUCAGCAGCUAACUUGUGCAACAGUAAAUUAGAGAAUCCCUUUAGGAAAUCCCAUCAGGAUUGUUAGGGUCGUAAAGGGUAUAACUCCAACAUGUUCAAAAAUCCAUAAAAGAGUCUCUACGAAUAAGUAUAAAUAUAAUAGAUUUCAUUAAAUCUGCACUAAUGAUAAAAAAAAAAAAAAAAAGUACAUGAAACAUACACAAAAAUACUCAUGGCAGAAAUUUUCUGUCUGUUUCGUUCACAUGUUGCAGGUACAAUAACGCAGUUGUUCGAAGUUGGUGAGACUGAAUGUUCCGUCCUGAUGUUUUGGAAUUAUGCUGUGGCUGCAAUUGCAAUGACCCUCUGGGCAACUUAUUACAUGUGGCUGUUGCUGUGAUGUUAAAGCUCCUGAUUAGUUGGAACGUAAUAAUGCGUUGUUGUGAUGUCAAAGCUCCUGUUUAGUUGGAACGUAGUAAUGGCAAUCCUGGCCGCUGAUGAAGACUACCAUUUCAACCCCUGAAAGCUGUCAACAAUCGACAUAUUCCUCUUCACUUUGUGACAGUAAUCUAAUAGUAUAGUUU
This 5941-nucleotide long non-coding RNA is filed under the name Coffea arabica (coffee). RNAcentral describes it as "long non-coding RNA (CARA_LNC004925)". The record is from RNAcentral. Lineage: Eukaryota; Viridiplantae; Streptophyta; Magnoliopsida; Gentianales; Rubiaceae.